RNAcentral lists this ribosomal RNA (588 nucleotides) under uncultured bacterium. RNAcentral's name for it is "partial 16S ribosomal RNA". It matches the Rfam family "Bacterial small subunit ribosomal RNA", at positions 355 to 938 of the family's 1533-position model. The record is from RNAcentral.
UGGGGAAUUUUGGACAAUGGGCGAAAGCCUGAUCCAGCAAUGCCGCGUGUGUGAAGAAGGCCUUCGGGUUGUAAAGCACUUUUGUCCGGAAAGAAAUCCUUGGCUCUAAUACAGUCGGGGGAUGACGGUACCGGAAGAAUAAGCACCGGCUAACUACGUGCCAGCAGCCGCGGUAAUACGUAGGGUGCAAGCGUUAAUCGGAAUUACUGGGCGUAAAGCGUGCGCAGGCGGUUUGCUAAGACCGAUGUGAAAUCCCCGGGCUCAACCUGGGAACUGCAUUGGUGACUGGCAGGCUAGAGUAUGGCAGAGGGGGGUAGAAUUCCACGUGUAGCAGUGAAAUGCGUAGAGAUGUGGAGGAAUACCGAUGGCGAAGGCAGCCCCCUGGGCCAAUACUGACGCUUAUGCACGAAAGCGUGGGGAGCAAACAGGAUUAGAUACCCUGGUAGUCCACGCCCUAAACGAUGUCAACUAGUUGUUGGGGACUUGCAUUUUCCUUAGUAACGUAGCUAACGCGUGAAGUUGACCGCCUGGGGAGUACGGUCGCAAGAUUAAAACUCAAAUGAAUUGNCGGGGUCNUAGCUGUUUCCU